GAUUAGGUAGUUGGUGGGGUAACGGCCCACCAAGCCUAAGAUCCGUACGGGCUGUGGGAGCAGGAGCCCGGAGAUGGACCCUGAGACAAGGGUCCAGGCCCUACGGGGCGCAGCAGGCGCGAAACCUCCGCAAUGCGGGAAACCGCGACGGGGUUAGCCGGAGUGCCCGUGCAUUGCACGGGCUGUCGGGGUGCCUAAACAGCACCCCAUAGCAAGGGCCGGGCAAGGCCGGUGGCAGCCGCCGCGGUGAGACCGGCGGCCCGAGUGGCGGCCACUCUUAUUGGGCCUAAAGCGUCCGUAGCCGGCCCAGUAAGUCCCCCGGGAAAUCUGGUCGCUUAACGAUCAGACUUCCGGGGGAUACUGCUGGGCUAGGGACCGGGAGAGGCCGAGGGUAUUCCCGGGGUAGGGGUGAAAUCCUGUAAUCCCGGGAGGACCACCUGUGGCGAAGGCGCUCGGCUGGAACGGGUCCGACGGUGAGGGACGAAGGCCUGGGGAGCGAACCGGAUUAGAUACCCGGGUAGUCCAGGCUGUAAACGAUGCGGGCUAGGUGUCACCGGAGCUACGAGCUCCGGUGGUGCCGGAGGGAAGCCGUUAAGCCCGCCGCCUGGGAAGUACGGCCGCAAGGCUGAAACUUAAAGGAAUUGACGG
RNAcentral lists this ribosomal RNA (648 nucleotides) under uncultured archaeon. RNAcentral describes it as "bacterial SSU rRNA". It matches the Rfam family "Archaeal small subunit ribosomal RNA", at positions 223 to 871 of the family's 1478-position model. The record is from RNAcentral.